GACGAACGCUGGCGGCGUGCUUAACACAUGCAAGUCGAACGGAAAGGCCCUGCUUUUGUGGGGUGCUCGAGUGGCGAACGGGUGAGUAACACGUGAGUAACCUGCCCUUGACUUUGGGAUAACUUCAGGAAACUGGGGCUAAUACCGGAUAGGAGCUCCUGCUGCAUGGUGGGGGUUGGAAAGUUUCGGCGGUUGGGGUUGGACUCGCGGCUUAUCAGCUUGUUGGUGGGGUAGUGGCUUACCAAGGCUUUGACGGGUAGCCGGCCUGAGAGGGUGACCGGCCACAUUGGGACUGAGAUACGGCCCAGACUCCUACGGUAGGCAGCAGGGGGGAGUAUUGCCCAAUGGGCGGAAGCCUGAUGCAGCAACGCCGCGUGCGGGAUGACGGCCUUCGGGUUGUAAAACGCUUUCGCCUGUGACGAAGCGUGAGUGACGGUAAUGGGUAAAGAAGCACCGGCUAACUACGUG
Molecule: ribosomal RNA, 468 nt
Filed under: uncultured bacterium
Lineage: Bacteria
Description: partial 16S ribosomal RNA
Rfam family: Bacterial small subunit ribosomal RNA
Source: RNAcentral